This 373-nucleotide ribosomal RNA is filed under the name uncultured eukaryote. RNAcentral's name for it is "partial 18S ribosomal RNA". It matches the Rfam family "Eukaryotic small subunit ribosomal RNA", at positions 592 to 976 of the family's 1831-position model. The record is from RNAcentral.
CAAUAGCGUAUAUUAAAGUUGUUGCAGUUAAAAAGCUCGUAGUUGAAUUUUUGCUUGCCGCCGAUGUCGGAACUUCCGUACGUUCGGCGGCGUGCAUCCUUGGGUGGAACCUGUGUGGCAUUAGGUUGUCGUGCAGGGGAUGCUCAUCGUUUACUGUGAAAAAAUUAGAGUGUUCAAAGCAGGCUUAUACCGUUGAAUAUAUUAGCAUGGAAUAAUAAGAUAGGACCUUGGUACUAUUUUGUUGGUUUGCGCACCGAGGUAAUGAUUAACAGGGACAGUUGGGGGUAUUCGUAUUCCAUUGUCAGAGGUGAAAUUCUUGGAUUUCUGGAAGACGAACUACUGCGAAAGCAUUUACCAAGGAUGUUUUCAUUAA